AAAAAAAAAAAAAAAAAAAAAAAAAAAAAACCGACCGUUCCUAACACAAAUGGCAAAGAAUUUGUUGGUUGGUACUCGAGAUUUCAAAUUCAAAUCAUAGUUGAUUCAUAUUUUCAGUUAAAUUUAUAUAUAUAAAAAAUAAACGAUGCGAGCAGCAUUAUACGCUGUUGAAAUUCGACGGUCUCGUUCCUUAGUCCAGUAUCGAUUGCUUGGAUGGUUUCCAGAACAAAAAUAGGCUUUGAACAAGCUUGAAAAAGAGUUUAAAAGUUUUCAAAAUAGACCAUCUGUCUGUAACGCAAGUGACAAAGGAUUUGAUAGUUGAUACUCGAGAUCCUAAGAUCGAAUUCUAAUUGAUUCACAUUUUCAGCUAAGUUUAUUUCUAAAAAAAAUAAACGAAGCGGUAGUAUGUUACUUUUAUCUCAAAAACAAAAAAAAAGUUUUCAAAAUGGUUAGGGUG
RNAcentral lists this long non-coding RNA (457 nucleotides) under Ananas comosus (pineapple). RNAcentral describes it as "long non-coding RNA (ACOM_LNC001364)". The record is from RNAcentral. Lineage: Eukaryota; Viridiplantae; Streptophyta; Magnoliopsida; Poales; Bromeliaceae.